This 549-nucleotide long non-coding RNA is filed under the name Homo sapiens (human). RNAcentral describes it as "non-protein coding lnc-NGFR-3:10". Lineage: Eukaryota; Metazoa; Chordata; Mammalia; Primates; Hominidae. The record is from RNAcentral.
AGUUGUGAUCAAAGCUGGACCUUUUCAGAGAAGGUCUCGAAUCCUGAAGACAGACUUCGAGGGGAUGAUGCAGCAAGAAGACCCACACCAGAUGAGGGCGCCUUGAUAUUGGAUUUCCCAGCCUCCAGAACUAAGCCUGGGACUUGCCUCUGUGAUCUGGUGCUUUGGAGGGCCUUGGGCCUCAGGGCUAGCAAGGUCCCUUUCUGGAGAUUCCAGUUCCUCUGCCCGCCCUCCUUUACCUCUUUCUCCUCACACAUCUGUCUGAGGGAUGGGGAUGAGGGCUGCCAACCAAUGUUACCACUUGACAGACCACAAGAGGGCUGGUUCCAGUGCCUCCCUUGUUCAGCUGCUGACACUGCAGCUUGGCAGUCAUUGAAGGCAAUAUUUAGCUCCUACAUCUGACCUGAUUGGAAGAUCAGGCUUCUGUCGUCCUGGUUUCCUGGCCUUGGAUAGUUCUUCACUAACUUUUAUUCAUUAAGGCAGUGGGCAGAAAGCAGCAGAACCCUGUUUUUUCUUUUUUUGGGGUUUUUGUUGUUGUUGUUGUUGUUG